RNAcentral lists this ribosomal RNA (468 nucleotides) under uncultured bacterium. Its description in RNAcentral is "partial 16S ribosomal RNA". It matches the Rfam family "Bacterial small subunit ribosomal RNA", at positions 28 to 507 of the family's 1533-position model. The record is from RNAcentral.
GACGAACGCUGGCGGCGUGCUUAACACAUGCAAGUCGAACGGAAAGGCCCUGCUUUUGUGGGGUGCUCGAGUGGCGAACGGGUGAGUAACACGUGAGUAACCUGCCCUUGACUUUGGGAUAACUUCAGGAAACUGGGGCUAAUACCGGAUAGGAGCUCCUGCAGCAUGGUGGGGGUUGGAAAGUUUCGGCGGUUGGGGAUGGACUCGCGGCUUAUCAGCUUGUUGGUGGGGUAGUGGCUUACCAAGGCUUUGACGGGUAGGCGGCCUGAGAGGGUGACCGGCGACAUUGGGACUGAGAGACGGCCCAGACGCCUACGUGAGGCAGCAGUGGGGAAUAUUGCACAAUGGGCCGAAGCCUGAUGCAGCAGCGCCGCGUGCGGGAUGACGGUCUUCGGGGUGUAAACCGCUUUCGCCUGUGACGAAGCGGGAGUGACGGUAAUGGGUAAAGAAGCACCGGCUAACUACGUG